This 253-nucleotide ribosomal RNA is filed under the name uncultured bacterium. Its description in RNAcentral is "partial 16S ribosomal RNA". It matches the Rfam family "Bacterial small subunit ribosomal RNA", at positions 524 to 776 of the family's 1533-position model. The record is from RNAcentral.
UACAGAGGUCCCAAGCGUUGUUCGGAUUCACUGGGCGUAAAGGGUGCGUAGGCGGUCCGCUAAGUUAGAUGUGAAAACUCUGGGCUCAACCCAGAGCCUGCAUCUAAUACUGACGGGCUAGAGUUCUGGAGGGGGUAGCGGAAUUCCUGGUGUAGCGGUGAAAUGCGUAGAUAUCAGGAGGAACACCUGCGGUGUAGACGGCUUUCUGGACCAUUGCUGACGCUGAGACACGAAAGCGUGGGUAGCAAACAGG